Melozone crissalis (California towhee) is the source of this 318-nucleotide non-coding RNA. NCBI's taxonomy places the organism in Eukaryota, Metazoa, Chordata, Aves, Passeriformes, Passerellidae. The record is from the annotation of a RefSeq genome assembly.
UGGGCGGCCAUGACCCUGCUGGAGUGCGGGGGGGACCUCCAGCUCCCCGGGGGGUCCCUGACGUUUCUGUGCCAAGCAUCUGGCUUCAAUUUCACGAAAUCUGCAAUGUUCUGGAUGCGCCAGAAACCCGGGCUGGGGCUUGAAUACGUCGCGGGGAUCAACGGUGAUGGUUCCACCCCCAGAUACGUGCUGUCGGUUAAGGGCCGGUUCAGCAUCUCCAGGGACAACAGGCAGAGCUCGGUGACGCUGACCAUGAACAACCUCAAGGACGAGGAUUCCGGAUCCUAUUUCUGUGCCAAAAACGCCUAUGAUGGAUGA